CCUACGGGAUGCUGCAGUGGGGAAUAUUGCACAAUGGAGGAAACCCUGAUGCAGCGACGCAGCGUGAGUGAAGAAGGAUUUCGGUACGUAAAGCUCUAUCAGCAGGGAAGAAAAAAGGACGGUACCUGAGUAAGUAUCCCCGGCUAACUAAGUGCCAGCAGCCGAGGACAUACGUAGGGGGCAAGCGUUAUCCGGAAUUACUGGGUGUACAGGGAGCAUAGACGGCAAUGCAAGUCCGGAGUGGAAUGCGGCAGCUCAACUGCCGAACUGCUCUGGAAACUGGAAGGCUUGAGUGCAGGAGAGGUAAGCGGAAUUCCUGGUGUAGCGGUGAAAUGCGUAGAUAUCAGGAGGAACACCGGUGGCGAAGGCGGCUUACUGGACUGUAACUGACGUUGAGGCUCGAAAGCGUGGGGAGCAAACAGGAUUAGAUACCCGUGUAGUC
This 442-nucleotide ribosomal RNA is filed under the name uncultured bacterium. RNAcentral's name for it is "partial 16S ribosomal RNA". It matches the Rfam family "Bacterial small subunit ribosomal RNA", at positions 338 to 795 of the family's 1533-position model. The record is from RNAcentral.